RNAcentral lists this microRNA precursor (86 nucleotides) under Dasypus novemcinctus (nine-banded armadillo). Its description in RNAcentral is "microRNA 181b-2 (ENSDNOG00000026583.1)". It matches the Rfam family "mir-181 microRNA precursor family". From Rfam's summary of the family: In this case the mature sequence comes from the 5' arm of the precursor. The record is from RNAcentral. Lineage: Eukaryota; Metazoa; Chordata; Mammalia; Cingulata; Dasypodidae.
UGAUGGCUGCACUCAACAUUCAUUGCUGUCGGUGGGUUUGCAUCCGAAUCAACUCGCUGAUCAAUGAAUGCAAACUGCGGACCAAA